CCUACGGGUGGCUGCAGUGAGGAAUAUUGGUCAAUGGACGAGAGUCUGAACCAGCCAAGUAGCGUGAAGGAUGACUGCCCUAUGGGUUGUAAACUUCUUUUAUAUGGGAAUAAAACAGGGUAUGCAUACCCUCUUGUAUGUACCAUAUGAAUAAGGAUCGGCUAACUCCGUGCCAGCAGCCGCGGUAAUACGGAGGAUGCGAGCGUUAUCCGGAUUUAUUGGGUUUAAAGGGUGCGUAGGCGGGCAUUUAAGCCGGCGGUCAAAUGUCGGGGCUCAACCCCGGCCUGCCGUCGGAACUGGGUGCCUUGAGUGGGCGAGAAGUAUGCGGAAUGCGUGGUGUAGCGGUGAAAUGCAUAGAUAUCACGCAGAACCCCGAUUGCGAAGGCAGCAUACCGGCGCCCUACUGACGCUGAGGCACGAAAGUGCGGGUAUCGAACAGGAUUAGAUACCCCAGUAGUC
This 459-nucleotide ribosomal RNA is filed under the name uncultured bacterium. RNAcentral's name for it is "partial 16S ribosomal RNA". It matches the Rfam family "Bacterial small subunit ribosomal RNA", at positions 338 to 795 of the family's 1533-position model. The record is from RNAcentral.